RNAcentral lists this ribosomal RNA (2323 nucleotides) under human gut metagenome. RNAcentral's name for it is "bacterial LSU rRNA". It matches the Rfam family "Bacterial large subunit ribosomal RNA", at positions 14 to 2317 of the family's 2925-position model. The record is from RNAcentral.
AGAGCGCAAGGGGAAUGCCUUGGCACUGAGAGCCGAAGAAGGACGCGACUAACUGCGAUAAGCCACGGGGAGCCGUAAGUAGGCAUUGAUCCGUGGAUUUCCGAAUGGAGCAAUCCGGCUGGAGUCAUGUCCAGUCACCGUAUUCUGAAUCCAUAGGGAUACGGGGGGAACCGCCUGAACUGAAACAUCUAAGUAGGGCGAGGAAAAGAAAUCAACCGAGAUUCCGCUAGUAGUGGCGAGCGAACGCGGAAGAGGCCAAACCAGAGGUAGCAAUACCUUUGGGGUUCGGACAGCGCACGGUAUGGAAGGUAUCUAGCAGAAUGGCAUGGGAAGGCCAACGAGACAGGGUGAGAGUCCCGUAUGCGAAAGAGAAGAUCCGCCAGCUGAAUCCAGAGUACCGCCGGACACGUGAAACCCGGUGGGAAGACGGGGGGACCAUCCUCCAAGCCUAAAUACUACUCAGUGACCGAUAGUGAAGAGUACUGUGAAGGAAAGGUGAAAAGCACCCCGGGAGGGGAGUGAAAGAGAACCUGAAACCUUGUGCUUACAAGCACCGAGAGCCCGUCAACGGGUGAUCGGGUACCUUUUGUAGAAUGGUCCGGCGAGUGAAUGUAACUGGCGAGGUUAAGGACUUAAGGUCCGGAGCCGUAGCGAGAGCAAGUCUGAAUAGGGCGUAUGAAGUCAGUUGUAUUCGACCCGAAACCGGGUGACCUACCCAUGUCCAGGUUGAAGUGGAGGUAAAACUCCAUGGAGGACCGAACCGACUCCCGUUGAAAUGGUAGCGGAUGAGGUGUGGGUAGCGGAGAAAUUCCAAUCGAACCCGGAGAUAGCUGGUUCUCUCCGAAAUAGCUUUAGGGCUAGCCUCAUAUUAGAUUACUGGAGGUAAAGCACUGAAUGGGCUAGGGGCCGAGAGGUUACUGAACCCUAUCAAACUCAGAAUGCCAGAUAAUUGAUGUAUGGGAGUCAGACAGUGUGAGAUAAGUUUCAUUGUCAAAAGGGAAACAGCCCAGACCCACAGCUAAGGUCCCAAAGUAUGGUUAAGUGGAAAAGGAUGUGGGGUUGCUUAGACAACCAGGAUGUUGGCUUAGAAGCAGCCACUCAUUAAAAGAGUGCGUAAUAGCUCACUGGUCGAGUGACCCUGCGCCGAAAAUUUAACGGGGCUAAAUCAUACACCGAAGCUUGGGAUUGACAGAUAUUCUUCAUGUUUUCAGGCAGGAUAGGAAAGAGAGAAAAUCUGAUGACGCCGAAGAAUGAGGCGGCAUUAAAUUUCUGUUCAAGUAAAAGCAUGAAGAUGUGAAGAAUAUCUGUCGAUGGUAGGAGAGCGUUCUAUGCGGGGAGAAGUCUGAGCGGAAGCGCAGGUGGACUGCAUAGAAGUGAGAAUGCCGGAAUGAGUAGCGCGAAAUAUGUGAGAAUCAUAUUGGCCGAAAGUCUAAGGUUUUUGGAGGAAGGUUCGUCCGCUCCAAGUAAGUCGGGAGCUAAGGCGAGGCCGAAAGGCGUAGUCGAUGCACAUACGGUAGAUAUUCCGUAACCGCCGAAGGAUUAAAGCAAAGGGACACCUGCAAAGCGUGUAACCCGGGCGAUGGUUGCCCCGGGCGUAAGGGACCGAAAUUUAGUAGGGAAGUACAUGUAGAGCAGGGCGAGAAAAGCUUUGUGUAUAUCCAAGGCGCCCGUACCGCAAACCGACACAGGUAGAUAGGAAGAGAAUUCUAAGGCCAACGGGAGAAGGGUAGUUAAGGAACUCGGCAAAUUGGUCCCGUAACUUAGGGAAAAGGGACGCUCCAGAGAUGGAGCCGCAGUGAAUAGGCCCAGGCGACUGUUUAGCAAAAACACAGGUCUCUGCCAAAUCGAAAGAUGAAGUAUAGGGGCUGACACCUGCCCGGUGCUGGAAGGUUAAGAGGAGAUGUGCAAGCAUUGAAUUGAAGCCCCAGUAAACGGCGGCCGUAACUAUAACGGUCCUAAGGUAGCGAAAUUCCUUGUCGGGUAAGUUCCGACCCGCACGAAUGGUGUAACGAUCUGGGCACUGUCUCAACUACCCGCCCGGCGAAAUUGUAGUACCGGUGAAGAUGCCGGUUACCCGCGACAAGACGGAAAGACCCCAUGGAGCUUUACUGUAGCUUGAUAUUGGGUUUCGGUAAUUUAUGUACAGGAUAGGCGGGAGACUAGGAAGCCAGUACGCCAGUAUUGGUGGAGUCGUCCUUGGGAUACCGCUCUUAAGUUGCUGGAAUUCUAACCUGCGGCCGUGAAUCCGGCCGGGGGACAUUGUCAGGUGGGCAGUUUGACUGGGGCGGUCGCCUCCAAAAGAGUAACGGAGGCGCUCAAAGGU